AGUGAACGCUGGCGGUAGGCCUAACACAUGCAAGUCGAACGGCAGCACAGUAAGAGCUUGCUCUUACGGGUGGCGAGUGGCGGACGGGUGAGGAAUACAUCGGAAUCUACUUUUUCGUGGGGGAUAACGUAGGGAAACUUACGCUAAUACCGCAUACGACCUACGGGUGAAAGCAGGGGAUCCUCGGACCUUGCGCGAUCGAAUGAGCCGAUGUCGGAUUAGCUAGUUGGCGGGGUAAAGGCCCACCAAGGCGACGAUCCGUAGCUGGUCUGAGAGGAUGAUCAGCCACACUGGAACUGAGACACGGUCCAGACUCCUACGGGAGGCAGCAGUGGGGAAUAUUGGACAAUGGGCGCAAGCCUGAUCCAGCCAUACCGCGUGUGUGAAGAAGGCCUUCGGGUUGUAAAGCCCUUUUGUUGGGAAAGAAAAGCAGCAGGUUAAUACCCCGCUGUUCUGACGGUACCCAAAGAAUAAGCACCGGCUAACUUCGUG
RNAcentral lists this ribosomal RNA (492 nucleotides) under uncultured bacterium. RNAcentral's name for it is "partial 16S ribosomal RNA". It matches the Rfam family "Bacterial small subunit ribosomal RNA", at positions 29 to 507 of the family's 1533-position model. The record is from RNAcentral.